GACGAACGCUGGCGGCGCGCUUAACACAUGCAAGUCGAACGGAAAGGCCUGCUUUCCCUUGUGGAUUGCGGGUACUCGAGUGGCGAACGGGUGAGUAACACGUGAGUGAUCUGCCCCCAACUUGGGUAUAAGCCUGGGAAACUGGGUCUAAUUCCCGAUAGGACUGCAGGGUGGUGCCUGUGGUGGAAAACGAUUUUCUAGUGGUUGGGGAUGAGCUCGCGGCCUAUCAGCUUGUUGGUGGGGUAAUGGCCUACCAAGGCGGCGACGGGUAGCCGGCCUGAGAGGGUGGUCGGCCACAUUGGGACUGAGAUACGGCCCAGACUCCUACGGGAGGCAGCAGUGGGGAAUAUUGCACAAUGGGCGGAAGCCUGAUGCAGCGACGCCGCGUGGGGGAUGACGGCCUUCGGGUUGUAAACUCCUUUCGACCGCGAGGAAGCCACCUGGUUGGAAGGGUGGUGACGGUAGUGGUAGAAGAAGCACCGGCUAACUACGUG
Molecule: ribosomal RNA, 494 nt
Filed under: uncultured bacterium
Lineage: Bacteria
Description: partial 16S ribosomal RNA
Rfam family: Bacterial small subunit ribosomal RNA
Source: RNAcentral